UAAAGGCAGUAAUGUCAUAGCCGAGUGAUACUAAUUACCCAUAGGCCUAUCGU
RNAcentral lists this ribosomal RNA (53 nucleotides) under Hellea sp. RNAcentral's name for it is "partial 23S ribosomal RNA". Lineage: Bacteria; Pseudomonadati; Pseudomonadota; Alphaproteobacteria; Maricaulales; Robiginitomaculaceae. The record is from RNAcentral.